AGCGAACGCUGGCGGCGUGCCUAACACAUGCAAGUCGAAUGCGCAGCUCCGGUGUAGCAAUACAUCGGGGUGGGCGCGUGGCGAACGGGUGCGUAACACGUGGGUAACCUGCCCAAGAGUGGGGGAUAACUCCGGGAAACUGAAGCUAAUACCGCAUACGUCCUCUGACAUGUCGGAGGGAAGCCGCAAGGCGCUCAUGGAGGGACCCGCGUCCCAUCAGCAGUUGGU
This 228-nucleotide ribosomal RNA is filed under the name uncultured bacterium. Its description in RNAcentral is "partial 16S ribosomal RNA". It matches the Rfam family "Bacterial small subunit ribosomal RNA", at positions 29 to 253 of the family's 1533-position model. The record is from RNAcentral.